CUCGAACACUCCUACGGGAGGCAGCAGUGGGGAAUAUUGCACAAUGGGCGCAAGCCUGAUGCAGCCAUGCCGCGUGUGUGAAGAAGGCCUUCGGGUUGUAAAGCACUUUCAGUCGUGAGGAAGGUAGUGUAGUUAAUAGCUGCAUUAUUUGACGUUUAGCGACAGAAGAAGCACCGGCUAACUCCGUGCCAGCAGCCGCGGUAAUACGGAGGGUGCGAGCGUUAAUCGGAAUUACUGGGCGUAAAGCGCAUGCAGGUGGUUUGUUAAGUCAGAUGUGAAAGCCCGGGGCUCAACCUCGGAAUUGCAUUUGAAACUGGCAGACUAGAGUACUGUAGAGGGGGUAGAAUUUCAGGUGUAGCGGUGAAAUGCGUAGAGAUCUGAAGGAAUACCGGUGGCGAAGGCGGCCCCCUGGACAGAUACUGACACUCAGAUGCGAAAGCGUGGGGAGCAAACAGGAUUAGAUACCCUGGUAG
Molecule: ribosomal RNA, 473 nt
Filed under: uncultured bacterium
Lineage: Bacteria
Description: bacterial SSU rRNA
Rfam family: Bacterial small subunit ribosomal RNA
Source: RNAcentral